This 520-nucleotide ribosomal RNA is filed under the name uncultured Glomus. Its description in RNAcentral is "SSU rRNA". It matches the Rfam family "Eukaryotic small subunit ribosomal RNA", at positions 569 to 1092 of the family's 1831-position model. The record is from RNAcentral. Lineage: Eukaryota; Fungi; Glomeromycota; Glomeromycetes; Glomerales; Glomeraceae.
AGCAGCCGCGGUAAUUCCAGCUCCAAUAGCGUAUAUUAAAGUUGUUGCAGUUAAAAAGCUCGUAGUUGAAUUUCGAGACCGGCUUACUGGUCGUGCUUUUGUACGUACUGGUAUAAUCGGUUUCUCCUUUCUGACGAACUAUAAUGCCAUUAAUUUGGUGUUAUGGGGAAUCAGGACUGUUACUUUGAAAAAAUUAGAGUGUUUAAAGCAGGCUCACGCUUGAAUACAUUAGCAUGGAAUAACGGAAUAGGACGUUUGAUUCUAUUUUGUUGGUUUCUAGGAUCGACGUAAUGAUUAAUAGGGAUAGUUGGGGGCAUUAGUAUUCAAUUGUCAGAGGUGAAAUUCUUGGAUUUAUUGAAGACUAACUACUGCGAAAGCAUUUGCCAAGGAUGUUUUCAUUAAUCAAGAACGAAAGUUAGGGGAUCGAAGACGAUCAGAUACCGUCGUAGUCUUAACCAUAAACUAUGCCGACUAGGGAUCGGAUGAUGUUAAUUUUUAAUGACUCAUUCGGCGCCUUACG